CGGCCUCGUCGCGGUCUCAGGAGGCAACCAGUAAACCGACCGCCUCAGCCAUUCACGCGGCAUGAAGACGGAGCUGAAAUAUCAAGCAAGCCGCUUAAACUAACCAGUGCAUCAACCAUCUGAUGCUUAUGACUUCGAUUCGAUUUCGUGAGGCAGCGACCAAAACGCCUUGACAUCUAAAAUUAGAGUCGCUGCUAUUGUGAUUCUUCUUUGUAGGUAUGAAGCGACUUUGAAGUGGCCGGCUAAGAUGAGACCGACUGGUCUUUCAGUUAUGUCGAUUUGAAGUCAAUUUUAACAUUAGGUUUACCUAAUGUAACUCACAAUCUGAUCAUUUCCUCGAUCAAACAAGUAUGUAUAUUGACGUGGUUGGCUUUAUGUAUGUAUCUUGAUUCUUUAAAAGAAUUGAUUUUGAUACAUUAAUUUUCCAAAAUUACACUUCUCAUAUCUAGUGAUGAAUCUAAUCAAGGGUGAGGAUGGAUAUGUGCUAUAGUUGCUUGGAACUUCAUUCUGCAGCAACCCACAAAGAAAAUGCACAAUUAAUAUCCAUUUAUUACCAAACAUAUCGCAGAGUAGAUGCCUCUUCCACUAUACUGAAGUUUAGAAGUGUUGAUUUUUUUAGCAGAUAAAGGCGUAAAACCAGGGUAUCUGAGUGGAUUGGCUUACUCAUGAAAGUUUUGGAUUUCUGUUGUAUUUUUAAAUAAAGAGUGCUUGGUACUAUGGUUUAUUGCAUUCAAACAAAAGAGUGUCUUCAUCCAUAAUGUGUUGACAUUUGUUUGUAAAUAAAUUUUACAUGUCAAGUUCGUUUAUAUACCUACUAAAUACAUAUUCGAAGUUAGUUUUCUGCUGUCA
This 849-nucleotide long non-coding RNA is filed under the name Lactuca sativa (garden lettuce). Its description in RNAcentral is "long non-coding RNA (LSAT_LNC001325)". Lineage: Eukaryota; Viridiplantae; Streptophyta; Magnoliopsida; Asterales; Asteraceae. The record is from RNAcentral.